RNA transcript from Chrysemys picta bellii (western painted turtle), 4653 nucleotides. It is a transcript of the gene named junctophilin 1, with no coding region annotated. The record is from RefSeq and is a predicted model, not a curated record. NCBI's taxonomy places the organism in Eukaryota, Metazoa, Chordata, Testudines, Emydidae.
GCCGAGCUCCGGGGCGCCGGCGGAGGAGCCCUGGCAGUCCUGCCGCGCGGGGCGCUGGAAGCGGAGGGGCCGCGGGGAGCGCAGCGCCCGGAGCCCGGCGGUGGCGGCGGCAGCAGCAGCAGCAGCAGCGGACGGAAGGAGCCGAGCUCGCCCCGCGCUCCCCUGAAUGACGGGCGGCAGGUUCGACUUCGACGAUGGCGGCACCUACUGCGGCGGCUGGGAGGAGGGCAAAGCCCACGGGCACGGCAUCUGCACCGGGCCCAAGGGGCAGGGCGAGUACGCGGGCUCCUGGUCCCACGGCUUCGAGGUGGUGGGCGGCUACACCUGGCCCAGCGGCAACACCUACCAGGGCUACUGGGCGCAGGGCAAGCGCCACGGGCUGGGCGUGGAGACCAAGGGCAGGUGGAUGUACCGGGGCGAGUGGUCCCACGGCUUCAAGGGGCGCUACGGGGUGCGGCAGAGCCUCACCACCCCGGCCCGCUACGAGGGCACCUGGAGCAACGGGCUGCAGGACGGCUACGGCGUGGAGACCUACGGGGAUGGAGGUACAUACCAGGGACAGUGGACAGGAGGGAUGCGGCACGGAUAUGGUGUACGUCAAAGUGUACCUUAUGGCAUGGCAACUGUGAUCCGUUCACCCCUCCGAACAUCUCUAGUCUCACUUCGUAGUGAGCAGAGCAAUGGCACUGUUCUGCAUGACAUUACUUCAGACAGCCCAGCUGGAACAAGAGGUGGGUUUGUUUUGAAUUUUCACAGUGAACCGGAAGCCAUGAGUAGUAAGAAAAGAGGAGGCUUGUUCAGAAGAGGAUCCCUUCUUGGUAGUAUAAAACUUAGAAAAUCUGAAUCUAAAUCAUCAAUAUCUAGCAAACGUAGCUCUGUCAGGAGUGAUGCUGCUAUGAGCAGAAUUAGUUCUAGUGAUGCCAACUCUACGAUUAGUUUUGGAGAUGGUGACUGUGAUUAUUGCCCUAUGGAAGACCAUGUUGAUGCCACCACAACAGAAACGUACAUGGGAGAGUGGAAGAAUGACAAGCGCAAUGGUUUUGGUAUUAGUGAGCGUUCAAAUGGUAUGAAAUAUGAAGGAGAAUGGCUAAAUAAUAAAAGGCAUGGAUAUGGAUGCACCAUAUUUCCAGAUGGCACAAAGGAAGAGGGAAAAUAUAAAAAUAAUGUUUUGGUCCGUGGAAUAAGAAAGCAACUUAUACCAAUAAGAAACACCAAAACUAAAGAAAAAGUGGAUAGAGCCAUAGAGGGUGCACAAAGGGCAGCUGCUAUGGCAAGAACCAAAGUGGAAAUUGCAUCUUCAAGAACUGCACAUGCAAGAGCUAAAGCUGAUGCUGCGGAUCAGGCUGCUCAGGCUGCUCGCCAGGAAAGUGAUAUUGCAAGAGCAGUUGCCAGAGAACUGUCACCAAGUUUCUACCAACCAGGCCCUGAUUAUAUCAAACAACGAUUUCAAGAAAGUGUGGAGGUAAAAGAAAACCCUGAAGAAAAGGUUCAAGAAAAAGCACCUUCCCCCAAAGAGUCUCCGCAUUUUUAUCGAAAAGGCACCACACCCCCUGGGACACCUGAAGCAAGCCCAAAGCACAGUUCUCCUCUUCCAUCUGAGCCUUCCCCUACCAAACAAUUGAAAAGACAAAACUCCAGCUCAAAGGCAAGACUCACUCAAGAAAAAAAGAGUUUAGCUAGUGAGACUGUAACAGCCGUGGUCAACAAGCCUCUGUAUUCAAAAGUACCCGUAAAGGAGGAGAUAGCGGUGAAACAUCAGCCAAAGUUUUCAGCCCACCACAAUCCCAUCAGCACAGAGAAUGGGGAACUGCAUGGUCAUUACCAUGGCUACUACGUAAAAAUGAAUCCAGCACUGCUUCCACAUGAGCUCAGGGAGGAGGAUGAAGAUGUCAACCCAUCACCUUCAGCACUCUCACGGAUAUCAACUCCACAGAAGCCAAGUCCUGCCAGAUCUGUUACUAAUCCAGAUGCCAAAGAAAGCAAAUCUGAUACAAAAGUAAAGAAACCUGAACUUGCUGCACCAAAGAAUCCCGCUAAUAAUGAGUCCCAUUCUUCAGCAGAAAAAGAAGUGGAAAUCCAUUUGCCAAACUACCUGCAGAGGGAAGGGAAAGAGGAAAUUCCAGUGAGAGUACUGCCAGUGCCAGGGCGUAUUAUUUUACAUAACAGUUAUAUUUUCUACUUUAAAAGAGGUUGGAGUCUAUGAAGAGGCCCGAACUAGGGAAGAGGGUCCUAACUCAGUCAUGAUUGCCCUGGUAAUGCUGUUGAAUAUUGGUUUAGCCAUUCUUUUUGUCCAUUUUCUAACUUGACUGGAAUUAGAGAAGUGAAGUCAUGACAACUAGUGGUGUUAGCCCACAAUUCUCUGCAGUUGUCUCAUCAGCCUUUUAAAUGGCACCAGUCGUACUCAGACACAGGGAAGGAGGCUUGGAAUUAGGAUGGGACGCAAGAGAGAUGACACUUGGAAAAUUCAGCCAGGGGCUUGAUCAGUUUCUCUGCUGAUGAUUUGUGGCUUUUGGGGUCCUCUGGAAGCUGAAGCAGCCAUGUUGGAAAACAACAACAAAAAUCUGCUGAAACAGCCCAACCAGUGAAGUGCAUUGGCUACUCCAUCUGUUCCAGCAGUGUGUGACUAAACUGGAAAUGUACGGAGCUGCACUUUUUGUUGAUGGAAGCUAACAGCUGCCUUAUUAUUUUACCGUCUGAUGUUUUUAGUAGGGAGAUCGGAAAACGACUGCCAGAGGAAUGUGGUCAGAGGAUUCAGUUGCUGUGGAAGUGAUUCCAGCGUUCACUCCAAUCUCAUUAGAAGAAAUAGUUAGCAGCAUCACUCACCAGUCUUAUUCCAUUACCUGCUGCUUUUAACAUCUCCUGCAAUGGUCAGGGAGAUUGAAUUUCAUUUGCUAGUGCAUGAUUCUGUUUUCGCUGUUGUUUAAACCUGAUGUAUAGCCAUAAUAUAGUAUGUAGAGCAACCUGGAGAAAUGUACUAGUUGCAUCUAGCAGCAGAAGCUAAAAUCUGUUAUACAUAUAUAUAUUUUUUUAUCUGAAGGUACAAUUCUUGAAACUUGUUUUCCUAAAUUAUUACAGUUUAGCAGGUAAUAUACAGUAAUGGCAAAGUUUUAAGCUAUCCUUUAUUGCUUCCAAAAAUGCUCAAAUGCUUGUGUCAAUAGCAAGCCAAUUUAUAAUACCGUGAGAAUCUUCAGGCAGUACCAGUACAUUAGAAAAAGGAGGCAGAAUAUCUUGAGAAAUAGGAUUCAAGUGUUGUAUGGUUUUUCUCCGACACCAGUGUUGUGGUAAUCAGUAAUUUGAAUGAUUAUAUUUUAAUAUUGGGAUUUUUGCCAGCAGUUAAAGACAAGUCUUGUCCAAAUGGACAGUAAUGCCAAUAAAAGCUAAGCUAGUUACUACAUUCAAAAUUAUUAUUAAUUUUAAAAUACUAGCUUUGUGUUGAAUACAUUCAGGUAGAGCAUUUAGAUCCAUUAAAAUGAUUGUUUAUCAAUUUGAUUCCUUUAUGUCUUUAAAGUCUGUAUAUAAUUUUACCUCAACAACAACAACAACAAAAGAAAGCCACAGAAAUUGUCAUUUGGAACAUUUGUCUUAAGUUGUUUUACAGUCCUAUGUUAUGCUGAUGUGAUCAAUGUUUUUUCAUGUGCCAUUACACUGUAAUUACUGUACCCUAUAUUACUCAAAAGCAUGCUUCUUUACUUACAGAAGUUUAUGUGGUGUGAUCAUUUUAAAUUAAAAUAUUUACUUUCAAAUCAAAAAUAGAAAAGGGCUUGGAAUAUGGUUUAUUUUAUCUCUAUUAGAAAAGAUUUCAUAAUUUUUAGUUUUUGAACAUGUUUGUAAACUUUAUAAUUGCUUGCAUGGUUUAAUGGAAAAGUUUCUUAAAAGCUACAUUAGGUAUCUUUUGAUGCAGCACAUAAAGUAACAUAGGUAUGGAAUGAAUAUUGUGUAGCCUGAUACAGCUCAGUGCAGGGCAAUAACACGGUGUUUUAUGCAGAAGCAUGUUGCGAAUCCUGUGGUUUGACCAGUGUGGAAGAAAGCAGACAGAGAGCAAAUGAAGAUAACUGGUAUAUUUAUUCAUUUUUAAAAAUAAGUAAAAUCAUGUUUUAUUUUUAAAUUUAAGAAAGUAAUUUUAAAUGAGAACAAAUUUUAAAGUUCCUGUAAGCCUUGAUGUAAGGAUAAAUGCUCCUGCCCCCACCCCAUGUCUCCUUACAAAAAGAACUAAUUUUGUAACUGACAUUUAAUUCUUAUUCAAUGUUUAUUUAAAAUACUUUAUGCUCUGAAAAUAAUGGGGUAACAAUCAGCUUCUGAAAAUGUUUAUAAAUUUAAGCAUGUUAGUACAAUUUAUAAAUAUGUAUGAUUUAUAAGCUUUUCUAAAACAAAGCUCAAAAAUUGUUGGUAUUUUUCUAAAAUGUGCACAGCUGUAUUUUACAUGAAAGGCUAUUUAUAAUUAGUUGUUAUACUGUACACUACAUUUCGGACAGCACAUGAAGCCUGCCAAUGUACUUAAUAAUGUCACUUUGUCUAUUUAAAUUUUCUUGCUGUGAAAAAAAUGAACUCUUUAUGUAGGAGUUUCUCUAUUUAUAAAAGUCUUGAACCCAAAAUGUAUAACGUACAGUUUCCACAACUGUAUUUGCUCUAAUAAAAAGUUGGUUAUUAAGAGUU